CACGUAGGGGGCAAGCGUUGUCCGGAAUUAUUGGGCGUAAAGAGCUCGUAGGCGGCUCGGUAAGUCAGGUGUCAAAUCCUCAGGCUCAACCUGGGGCUCCACCUGAUACUGCUGUGGCUAGAGUCCGGUAGGGGAGCGUGGAAUUCCUGGUGUAGCGGUGAAAUGCGCAGAUAUCAGGAGGAACACCGGUGGCGAAGGCGGGUCUCUGGGCCGAUACUGACGCUGAGGAGCGAAAGCGUGGGGAGCGAACAGG
This 253-nucleotide ribosomal RNA is filed under the name uncultured bacterium. Its description in RNAcentral is "partial 16S ribosomal RNA". It matches the Rfam family "Bacterial small subunit ribosomal RNA", at positions 524 to 776 of the family's 1533-position model. The record is from RNAcentral.